This 724-nucleotide ribosomal RNA is filed under the name uncultured bacterium. Its description in RNAcentral is "bacterial SSU rRNA". It matches the Rfam family "Bacterial small subunit ribosomal RNA", at positions 65 to 777 of the family's 1533-position model. The record is from RNAcentral.
GGGGCAGCAUGAAAGGAACUUCGGUUCUUUUUGAUGGCGACCGGCGCACGGGUGCGUAACGCGUAUCGAACCUGCCUCAUACUCGGGGAUAGCCUUGCGAAAGUAAGAUUAAUACCCGGCGGUCUCGGAUGGCCGCAUGACUAUCCGAGUGAAGAUUUAUCGGUAUGAGAUGGCGAUGCGUCCCAUUAGCUAGUUGGUGAGGUAAUGGCUCACCAAGGCAUCGAUGGGUAGGGGUUCUGAGAGGAAGGUCCCCCACAUUGGAACUGAGACACGGUCCAAACUCCUACGGGAGGCAGCAGUGAGGAAUAUUGGUCAAUGGACGAAAGUCUGGACCAGCCAAGUAGCGUGCAGGAAGACGGCCCUCUGGGUUGUAAACUGCUUUUAGUUGGGAAUAAAAAGAGGGACGUGUCCCUUAUUGUAUGUACCAUCAGAAAAAGGACCGGCUAAUUCCGUGCCAGCAGCCGCGGUAAUACGGAAGGUCCAGGCGUUAUCCGGAUUUAUUGGGUUUAAAGGGAGCGCAGGCGGCGGCGUAAGUCAGUUGUGUAAUCGUGCGGCUUAACCGUGCAAUUGCAGUUGAUACUGCGUCGCUUGAGUGCACACAGGGAUGUUGGAAUUCAUGGUGUAGCGGUGAAAUGCUUAGAUAUCAUGAAGAACUCCGAUCGCGAAGGCAUAUGUCCGGAGUGCAACUGACGCUGAGGCUCGAAAGUGUGGGUAUCAAACCAGG